This 433-nucleotide ribosomal RNA is filed under the name uncultured bacterium. RNAcentral's name for it is "partial 16S ribosomal RNA". It matches the Rfam family "Bacterial small subunit ribosomal RNA", at positions 29 to 507 of the family's 1533-position model. The record is from RNAcentral.
AACGAACGCUGGCGGCAUGCCUAACACAUGCAAGUCGAACGAUGCCUUCGGGCAUAGUGGCGCACGGGUGCGUAACGCGUGGGGAUCUGCCUUUCGGUUCGGAAUAACUCAGGGAAACUUGAGCUAAUACCGGAUAACGUCGCAAGACCAAAGAUUUAUCACCGAAAGAUGAGCCCGCGUAGGAUUAGCUAGUUGGUGAGGUAAAGGCUCACCAAGGCGACGAUCCUUAGCUGGUCUGAGAGGAUGAUCAGCCACACUGGGACUGAGACACGGCCCAGACUCCGACGGGAGGCAGCAGUGGGGAAUAUUGGACAAUGAGCGAAAGCCUGAUACAGCAAUGCCGCGUGAGUGAUGAAGGCCUUAGGGUUGUAAAGCUCUUUUACCCGGGAAGAUAAUGACGGUACCGGGAGAAUAAGCCCCGGCUAACUCCGUG